This 84-nucleotide non-coding RNA is filed under the name human gut metagenome. RNAcentral's name for it is "Cyclic di-GMP-I riboswitch". It matches the Rfam family "c-di-GMP-I riboswitch aptamer". From Rfam's summary of the family: GEMM was predicted in a large-scale screen for bacterial structured RNA regulatory elements. Genes associated with GEMM are involved in a diverse array of functions, including chemotaxis regulation, signal transduction, secretion and chitin. The record is from RNAcentral.
GUGAAAGGCAAACCGGCUGAAAGGCCGGGACGCAAAGCUCGGGAGGCUACAGCGGCACAGCCGCCAGGCCAGUCCGGCCGCCGC